GUGGGGAAUAUUGGACAAUGGGGGGAACCCUGAUCCAGCCAUGCCGCGUGUGUGAAGAAGGCCUUUUGGUUGUAAAGCACUUUAAGCGAGGAGGAGGCUACUUGGAUUAAUACUCUAGGAUAGUGGACGUUACUCGCAGAAUAAGCACCGGCUAACUCUGUGCCAGCAGCCGCGGUAAUACAGAGGGUGCGAGCGUUAAUCGGAUUUACUGGGCGUAAAGCGUGCGUAGGCGGCUUCUUAAGUCAGAUGAGAACUCCCUGAGCUUAACUUAGGGAGUGCAUUCGAUACUGGGAAGCUAGAGUAUGGGAGAUGAUGGUAGAAUUCCAGGUGUAGCGGUGAAAUGCGUAGAGAUCUGGAGGAAUACCGAUGGCGAAGGCAGCCAUCUGGCCUAAUACUGACGCUGAGGUACGAAAGCAUGGGGAGCAAACAGGAUUAGAGACCUGGUAGUCG
Molecule: ribosomal RNA, 450 nt
Filed under: uncultured bacterium
Lineage: Bacteria
Description: partial 16S ribosomal RNA
Rfam family: Bacterial small subunit ribosomal RNA
Source: RNAcentral